RNAcentral lists this ribosomal RNA (798 nucleotides) under uncultured Archaeospora. RNAcentral's name for it is "SSU rRNA". It matches the Rfam family "Eukaryotic small subunit ribosomal RNA", at positions 314 to 1114 of the family's 1831-position model. The record is from RNAcentral. Lineage: Eukaryota; Fungi; Glomeromycota; Glomeromycetes; Archaeosporales; Archaeosporaceae.
AUCAACUUUCGAUGGUAGGAUAGAGGCCUACCAUGGUUUUAACGGGUAUCGGGGAAUUAGGGUUCGAUUCCGGAGAGGGAGUCUGAGAAACGGCUACCACUUCUAAGGAAGGCAGCAGGCGCUCAAAUUACCCAAUCCCGACACGGGGAGGUAGUGACAAUAAAUAACAAUACAGGGCCUUUACAGGUCUUGUAAUUGGAAUGAGUACAAUUUAAAUCUCUUAACGAGGAACAAUUGGAGGGCAAGUCUGGUGCCAGCAGCCGCGGUAAUUCCAGCUCCAAUAGCGUAUAUUAAAGUUGUUGCAGUUAAAAAGCUCGUAGUUGAAUUUUGGAUUCUUCCAAUUGGUCCAUCUUUUAGAUGAGUACUGGUUGUGUGGGGUCUAUCCGCCUGGUAAUACGUAAUGUCCUUUAUUGGAUGUUGCGGGUAGUCAGGACCUUUACCUUGAAAAAAUUAGAGUGUUUAAAGCAGGCUUAUGCCGGAAUACAUUAGCAUGGAAUAAUAGAAUAGGACGAAGUUGUUUUAUUUUGUUGGUUUCUAGGACAACCGUAAUGAUUAAUAGGGAUAGUUGGGGGCAUUAGUAUUCAAUUGUCAGAGGUGAAAUUCUUGGAUUUAUUGAAGACUAACUACUGCGAAAGCAUUUGCCAAGGAUGUUUUCAUUAAUCAAGAACGAAAGUUAGGGGAUCGAAGACGAUCAGAUACCGUCGUAGUCUUAACCAUAAACUAUGCCGACUAGGGAUCGGGCGAUGUUGUUUCCAUGACUCGCUCGGCACCUUAUGGGAAACCAAAGUGUUUGGGUUC